UUCUCAAUCUAUACUUCAAAAUAAAAGCAAAAUUUCUCGUCUAUUUGAGAGUCUUUCCCAUGGAGAAUGGAUACGCUUCACAAACCUCUUCUCCAUGUUGGGAAGGAUCGUCCAAUGAUUCUCGCAUACUUCUUGAAUGUAUGAGGCAUCUUGAGAGUAGAUUUCCUAUGCCUAAAGAAGAAAAAUAUAUCUUGUUAAUUCUGGAUAUACAAAUAUGCUUGGGUUUCUAGCACCAUGCAGUCAAAGGUACCAUCUAUGAGAUUUUAGAGAAAGGAGGCAACAUCCUCGAGGUAGGGAAGCGGUGUUUAACUAUCAACAUUCUUCACUACGAAACGUAAUUGAACGUUGUUAAAUAAAUGCCUCUUUACCCGGUCGAUACACAAAAAUAUAUACCAAUAGCAUAUUGUACUGUUCACAAUUAUGUUAGAUUAAAUGAUCGUGAAUAUGAUCUAUUUAAUGACUAUAGCAAUGAAUCAAUGAUCGUUGAAGAUUUACAAAGUUUGUCAGAACAGAGUAUUCUAAUUGAAGUAGAUGGAAGGUAACAUCAUUUAAGGUGAAUGGCUCGAGUGGGAGACAAUAUUGCAAAUCAAAUUUGGGCAACAUUUGAAGGAUAUAUAUUAUUGUUAUUUUUAAUUUUGCUCUUGAGACUUGAAUUGUAAUAGAUAUUCUAAACUCUAGAUGAUGUUUAUUUCUUUUUAUUUCUUUUUA
Non-coding RNA from Momordica charantia (bitter melon), 708 nucleotides. Lineage: Eukaryota; Viridiplantae; Streptophyta; Magnoliopsida; Cucurbitales; Cucurbitaceae. The record is from RefSeq and is a predicted model, not a curated record.